AGUGCAGUUGCUGGGUUGUAUGGCCAUUGCAUUUUUAAUUUUUUAAGAUAUGACCAAAUUGUUUUCUAGAACAGUUGUACCAUUUUACAUUUCCACUAGCAAU
RNAcentral lists this microRNA precursor (103 nucleotides) under Marmota monax (woodchuck). Lineage: Eukaryota; Metazoa; Chordata; Mammalia; Rodentia; Sciuridae. The record is from RNAcentral.